UUAGAUAUAAAUAGAUUAAGCUAUUUACCAGAGUACUACGAAUAAAAUCGUUUAAAACUCAAAGAGCUUGGCGGUGCUUUAGACUUCUCAGGGGAACCUGUCUCGUAAUCGACAGUCCACGUAUCACCUUGCCUUUCUUUGCAGUCAGUAUGUAUACCGUCGUCGGCAGGUAACUUUUAAAAAUAUAGAAGUUAGCAAGAAAACUUUUUGGUUUUUACGUCAGAUCAAGGUGCAGCUAAUAGAAAGGAGAAGAUGGGUUACAAUUAAAAUUUAUAAUUACGGAAAUUAGUUUUAAUAACUAAUUUGAAGGCGGACUUGAAAGUAUGGAUUAGUAAUUAAAUAUUUUGAAUUCAGCUCUGAAGCG
This 364-nucleotide ribosomal RNA is filed under the name Echinolittorina albicarinata. RNAcentral's name for it is "partial 12S ribosomal RNA". Lineage: Eukaryota; Metazoa; Mollusca; Gastropoda; Littorinimorpha; Littorinidae. The record is from RNAcentral.